AACGAACGCUGGCGGCAUGCCUAACACAUGCAAGUCGAACGAGACCUUCGGGUCUAGUGGCGUACGGGUGCGUAACGCGUGGGAACCUGCCCUUAGGUUCGGAAUAACUCCCCGAAAGGGGUGCUAAUACCGGAUAAUGUCUUCGGACCAAAGAUUUAUCGCCUUUGGAUGGGCCCGCGUUGGAUUAGCUAGUUGGUAGGGUAAAAGCCUACCAAGGCGACGAUCCAUAGCUGGUCUGAGAGGAUGAUCAGCCACACUGGGACUGAGACACGGCCCAGACUCCUAGGGGGGGAAGAGGUGGGGAAAAUGGGACAAUGGGCGAAAGCCGGAUCCAGCAAUGCCGGGUGGGGGAUGAAGGCCUUAGGGUUGUAAAGCUCUUUUACCCGGGAGGAUAAUGACAGUACGGGGAGAAUAAGCCCCGGCAACCUCCGU
RNAcentral lists this ribosomal RNA (432 nucleotides) under uncultured bacterium. RNAcentral describes it as "partial 16S ribosomal RNA". It matches the Rfam family "Bacterial small subunit ribosomal RNA", at positions 29 to 506 of the family's 1533-position model. The record is from RNAcentral.